RNAcentral lists this ribosomal RNA (245 nucleotides) under uncultured Natronincola sp. RNAcentral describes it as "partial 16S ribosomal RNA". It matches the Rfam family "Bacterial small subunit ribosomal RNA", at positions 524 to 769 of the family's 1533-position model. Lineage: Bacteria; Bacillati; Bacillota; Clostridia; Peptostreptococcales; Natronincolaceae. The record is from RNAcentral.
UACGUAGGGGGCGAGCGUUAUCCGGAAUCACUGGGCGUAAAGGGUGCGUAGGCGGCCUAUAAAGUCAGGGGUGAAAGGCUACGGCUCAACCGUAGUAAGCCUUUGAAACUUAUGGGCUUGAGUGCAGGAGAGGAGAGUGGAAUUCCUAGUGUAGCGGUGAAAUGCGUAGAUAUUAGGAGGAACACCAGUGGCGAAGGCGGCUCUUUGGUCUGUAACUGACGCUGAGGCGCGAAAGCGUGGGGAGC